This 135-nucleotide small nucleolar RNA is filed under the name Myotis davidii. Its description in RNAcentral is "Small nucleolar RNA SNORA42/SNORA80 family". It matches the Rfam family "Small nucleolar RNA SNORA42/SNORA80 family". Rfam says of the family: The members of this family belong to the H/ACA class of snoRNAs that guide the sites of modification of uridines to pseudouridines. Human ACA42 (SNORA42) was cloned from HeLa cells by immunoprecipitation with anti-GAR1 antibody. The record is from Rfam by way of RNAcentral. Lineage: Eukaryota; Metazoa; Chordata; Mammalia; Chiroptera; Vespertilionidae.
GCAUGGGUUUGGGUUGAUGGCAGGCCGGUUCCCCUGGGUCUCUCAUAGGUCCCCCAGGCCAGAGCAAGCUGUGGUCUCAAACCAUUGCUUGGCCUCUGCCCGUAGGCUGCAGGCACUGAAGCAGGUUGCACAGUG